CCUACGGGGGGCUGCAGUGGGGAAUCUUGCGCAAUGGGCGAAAGCCUGACGCAGCAACGCCGCGUGGGGGAUGAAGGCUUUCGGGUUGUAAACCCCUUUCAGCAGGGACGAAUCAAGACGGUACCUGCAGAAGAAGCCCCGGCUAACUACGUGCCAGCAGCCGCGGUAACACGUAGGGGGCAAGCGUUGUCCGGAUUUAUUGGGCGUAAAGAGCUCGUAGGCGGCUCGAUAAGUCGGGUGUCAAAUCCUCAGGCUCAACCUGGGGCACCACCCGAUACUGUCGUGGCUAGAGUCCGGUAGGGGAGCGUGGAAUUCCUGGUGUAGCGGUGAAAUGCGCAGAUAUCAGGAGGAACACCAGCGGCGAAGGCGGCGCUCUGGGCCGGAACUGACGCUGAGGAGCGAAAGCGUGGGUAGCAAACAGGAUUAGAUACCCCGGUAGUC
This 441-nucleotide ribosomal RNA is filed under the name uncultured Acidimicrobiales bacterium. RNAcentral describes it as "bacterial SSU rRNA". It matches the Rfam family "Bacterial small subunit ribosomal RNA", at positions 338 to 795 of the family's 1533-position model. Lineage: Bacteria; Bacillati; Actinomycetota; Acidimicrobiia; Acidimicrobiales. The record is from RNAcentral.